AGAGUUUGAUCCUGGCUCAGAUUGAACGCUGGCGGCAUGCCUUACACAUGCAAGUCGAACGGUAACAGCUCUUCGGAGGCUGACGAGUGGCGAACGGGUGAGUAAUACAUCGGAACGUGCCCGAUCGUGGGGGAUAACGGAGCGAAAGCUUUGCUAAUACCGCAUACGAUCUACGGAUGAAAGCAGGGGACCCUCGGGCCUCGCGCGAUUGGAGCGGCCGAUGUCAGAUUAGGUAGUUGGUGGGGUAAAGGCCCACCAAGCCAACGAUCUGUAGCUGGUCUGAGAGGACGACCAGCCACACUGGAACUGAGACACGGUCCAGACUCCUACGGGAGGCAGCAGUGGGGAAUUUUGGACAAUGGGCGCAAGCCUGAUCCAGCAAUGCCGCGUGCAGGAAGAAGGCCUUCGGGUUGUAAACUGCUUUUGUACGGAACGAAACGGUCUGGGUUAAUACCCUGGGCUAAUGACGGUACCGUAAGAAUAAGCACCGGCUAACUACGUGCCAGCAGCCGCGGUAAUACGUAGGGUGCAAGCGUUAAUCGGAAUUACUGGGCGUAAAGCGUGCGCAGGCGGUUUUGUAAGACAGUCGUGAAAUCCCCGGGCUCAACCUGGGAAUUGCGAUUGUGACUGCAAAGCUGGAGUGCGGCAGAGGGGGAUGGAAUUCCGCGUGUAGCAGUGAAAUGCGUAGAUAUGCGGAGGAACACCGAUGGCGAAGGCAAUCCCCUGGGCCUGCACUGACGCUCAUGCACGAAAGCGUGGGGAGCAAACAGGAUUAGAUACCCUGGUAGUCC
This 791-nucleotide ribosomal RNA is filed under the name uncultured bacterium. Its description in RNAcentral is "bacterial SSU rRNA". It matches the Rfam family "Bacterial small subunit ribosomal RNA", at positions 8 to 796 of the family's 1533-position model. The record is from RNAcentral.